CCACCGCGCCCGGCCAUAUCGAGGAGUUUUCUACCUGCUAACCCACCGGGGAAAAAUCGGCGCUCCAGCUGCUGGGACCAAGGCGUGAGAGCGUUGAAUCAUGCGUAUCACCGUUCUCACAAAAUUGGUGUCUUUGUACCAAGACAGUGCCACAACACAACUCAGUGACCAUCGGUAGAGCAGCCUCAUCAUGGGCGAUGCUCCGUCCGUUGUUUCUCUUGAGAUCUUUUGCGUAGCUCGGUCCUGCCCCGCAUGUGGCGACCGGGACUCAAGAGACACGGAAAACGUUUUUUUGUUUUGGAAAACAUGAAAUAGGCUUUGUAGAUGGAGAGGAGGUCAAGGGACAGGCACUGCGCCGCAGAGAGCGAGGACCCACUCUUCUAUUCCUCUGCGGAGGAGGCACGGACACACCGUGUGGCCCGAAACAGCGGCAGGAGAGACCCGAGCUCCGACCGCCGUGACAGAGUCUCAUUCUGUCACCUAGGCUGGAGUGCAGUGGCAUGAUCUCAGCUCACUGUAACCUCUGCCUCCCAGUUUCAAGAGAUUCUUGUACCUCAGCCUGAGUAGCUGGGAUUACAGGCGUGCACCACCACACCUGGCUAAUGUUUUGUAUUUUUAGUAGAGACGGGGUUUCACCAUGUUGACCAGGAUGGUCUCGAUCUCUUGACCUCGUGAUCCACCCGCCUCGGCCUCCCAAAGUGCUGGGAUUACAGGCUUGAGCCACCGCGCCCGGCCUAAAAUUUUUUAAAAGUUAUAUAUAUUAUGGUUUUUUACCAAAAUUUAAAAAAUUAAUGUACAAUCUACAUGCAGAAAAAUGCACAAAUGACAAGUGUGUAUCUUGAGAGCUUGAAUUUUCACAAAUGGAAUGCAUUUGUGUAACCAGCAGGAGAUCAAGAAACAGAAUAUUACUAGUGCCCUAGAAGCCACCUGUGUGUCCCCUUGCACUGCUCUUCUCAAGGACAACCACUCUCCUUACUCCUGAUACCAGAAACAAAUUUUGCCUGUUCUUGCUUUUUAUAUAAAGAGAAUCACAGAGUAUGUA
Molecule: long non-coding RNA, 1042 nt
Organism: Cebus imitator (Panamanian white-faced capuchin)
Lineage: Eukaryota; Metazoa; Chordata; Mammalia; Primates; Cebidae
Exons: 3
Source: RefSeq, a predicted model, not a curated record